AAGUGGACUAGGUCGGGCGGUUAGGCCCCGCUCACAACCCGCGCUAUGGUCUUUAGCGGGGACCGAAGCCGGGGUGCGUCUGGCCCAACCAGUGCGGGCCCCGCAAGCCAACGUCGAAGCCUCGUCCUACGAGGGCAGCGGUCCGCCGACCGGCGUCUGCAGGGACGUUCGGUCGCGGUUAACCACGGGCAAUCCGUCAGGCACGGAAGUGAGCAGCGGACCCGUGGACAGCUGUCGCCCGUAGGGUCGCGGGGUGGAGGAGGCACGCGGGACUCCCCGUAUUGGACGGGCCAGGCAACUCUCGGGUCCAACC
RNAcentral lists this signal recognition particle RNA (313 nucleotides) under Natronomonas sp. CBA1123. Its description in RNAcentral is "Archaeal signal recognition particle RNA". It matches the Rfam family "Archaeal signal recognition particle RNA". The record is from Rfam by way of RNAcentral. Lineage: Archaea; Methanobacteriati; Methanobacteriota; Halobacteria; Halobacteriales; Natronomonadaceae.